RNAcentral lists this ribosomal RNA (440 nucleotides) under Paenibacillus sp. RNAcentral describes it as "bacterial SSU rRNA". It matches the Rfam family "Bacterial small subunit ribosomal RNA", at positions 331 to 766 of the family's 1533-position model. Lineage: Bacteria; Bacillati; Bacillota; Bacilli; Caryophanales; Paenibacillaceae. The record is from RNAcentral.
CCCUACUCCUACGGAGGCAGCAGUAGGGAAUCUUCCGCAAUGGGCGAAAGCCUGACGGAGCAAUGCCGCGUGAGUGAUGAAGGUUUUCGGAUCGUAAAGCUCUGUUGCCAGGGAAGAACGCUUGGGAGAGUAACUGCUCCCAAGGUGACGGUACCUGAGAAGAAAGCCCCGGCUAACUACGUGCCAGCAGCCGCGGUAAUACGUAGGGGGCAAGCGUUGUCCGGAAUUAUUGGGCGUAAAGCGCGCGCAGGCGGUCAUGUAAGUCUGGUGUUUAAUCCCGGGGCUCAACCCCGGAUCGCACUGGAAACUGCGUGACUUGAGUGCAGAAGAGGAGAGUGGAAUUCCACGUGUAGCGGUGAAAUGCGUAGAGAUGUGGAGGAACACCAGUGGCGAAGGCGACUCUCUGGGCUGUAACUGACGCUGAGCGCGUAGCUUCCCAG